AUGACGUUAUCCCCUCACACACUCCGCCCGCCCCUCCCCCUCUCGCUCCCGCUCCCGCCAACUUCAAACCGCCGCCCGCCGCCCCGGCCCCUCCACCCGUCGCUCGCGCGCCGCCGCAGAAGCGUCCUCCUCCCCAAGCCGCCGCGCGCGGGCGCGGGCGCCGGGGACGGCAUGGCGACGCACGGGGCGCACCCCACGCUGCUCGAGCACAUGGGCCGGGCCGGCGCGCCCGCCGACCUCGCCGUCCUCGUCGCCCACAUCCAGGCCGCCUGCAAGCGCAUCGCCGCGCUCGUCGCGUCCCCCGGCAACGCCGACCUGUCGCGGGCCAAGCCGGCCGCUGCCGGUGCUGCAUCCGCGGCCGGCCGCGACGCGCCCAAGCCGCUCGACGAAUUGUCGAACGAGAUCAUCCUGUCGUCACUCCAAAGCUCUGGAAAAGUUGCGGUGGUGGCUUCCGAAGAAAAUGAUCUCCCCGUGUGGAUGUGCGACGACGGUCCCUACGUUGUUGUCACAGACCCGCUUGAUGGUUCUCGCAACAUCGAGGUGUCGAUCCCCACUGGAACGAUAUUCGGGAUCUACGAUAGGCUGGUGGAACUCGACCAGCUCCCUGUGGAGGAGAAAGCUCAGCUUAAUUCACUGCAGAGCGGUUCUCGCUUGGUCGCUGCUGGAUAUGUCCUGUAUUCAUCUGCUACCAUCUUCUGCAUCAGUUUUGGUGCGGGAACCCAUGGCUUCACUUUGGAUAGAUCAACAGGAGAAUUUGUUCUGACACAUCCAUCCAUGCAAAUACCCCCUAGAGGACAGAUAUAUUCAGUGAAUGAUGCGCGGUACUUCGACUGGCCAGAGGGCCUGAAGAAGUACAUUGACACGAUCAGACAAGGCAAGGGGCAGCAUCCCAAGAAGUACUCGGCUCGGUAUGUGUGCUCACUGGUUGCUGAUUUUCAUCGGACGAUCAUAUACGGUGGAGUUGCAAUGAACCCGAGGGAUCACCUUCGGUUGGUUUACGAGGCAAAUCCUCUCAGUUUCCUUGCCGAGCAGGCAGGGGGGCGAGGCUCGGAUGGCAAAACCAGAAUCCUCUCCAUUCAGCCUGUGAAGCUGCACCAGAGGCUGCCAUUGUUCCUGGGGAGCAUGGAGGACAUGCUUGAGCUAGAAAGCUAUGGGGAUGUCCAGCAGAAGGUCAAUCCUGGAUACGAUGUUUAA
This 1194-nucleotide ribosomal RNA is filed under the name Triticum aestivum (bread wheat). RNAcentral's name for it is "partial small subunit ribosomal RNA". The record is from RNAcentral. Lineage: Eukaryota; Viridiplantae; Streptophyta; Magnoliopsida; Poales; Poaceae.